Long non-coding RNA from Salvia miltiorrhiza (redroot sage), 428 nucleotides. RefSeq lists it as uncharacterized. Lineage: Eukaryota; Viridiplantae; Streptophyta; Magnoliopsida; Lamiales; Lamiaceae. The record is from RefSeq and is a predicted model, not a curated record. The transcript has 2 exons.
UCCAUUGUUGACCACUCCAAGCUUCUAAAAUCCUUCUAUACUAAAGAUCUCCACAAGAAUCAAGCUCUAAAAACCUCCAUAACUUUGAAUCAAGACCAGGCUUUGAAGAGUUUUCAAGAUUGAAGCUUAAUGAUGUUUUUAUCUCUCAUUCAAGUAUUUGAACACGAGCAGAGGACGGAAGUGAGUCACACCAAGUAUCAAAGAAAGUGAGCUAAAGUCUACAGGUGGACAUUUUCUACUACCCCUAUUAUGUAGGCUUUCGAACUCGCUAUUAUGUAUAGCAUAUGAAACUUAUGCACAUGAUUUGAUGACUUAUGAUUUGAAGUAUAAAUGUUAUUGACUUGCCAAGUAUUUAUGAUGAUGUUGUAUGUUACCUCAGAAAUUAAAUGAUGUUUAUGAUGAUGAUACUGAAGGAAUAUUAAAUUGAA